Molecule: non-coding RNA, 24 nt
Filed under: Cricetulus griseus (Chinese hamster)
Lineage: Eukaryota; Metazoa; Chordata; Mammalia; Rodentia; Cricetidae
Source: RNAcentral
AUGUAGAACAUCACAGAAAAGGAG